Nematostella vectensis (starlet sea anemone) is the source of this 1466-nucleotide long non-coding RNA. RefSeq lists it as uncharacterized. The transcript has 2 exons. The record is from RefSeq and is a predicted model, not a curated record. NCBI's taxonomy places the organism in Eukaryota, Metazoa, Cnidaria, Anthozoa, Actiniaria, Edwardsiidae.
CGGGUAAUACCAAAGAGUCCCUCUUUUAUCUUGUGCUCUCUUGAUGGAACCCUAAAUACGAAAUUAGGUUCGGAGAGGGGUUUUGAGACAGGGAAAUGGAAAUAUAACGGCAGGAGACAUUUCGCACUUAGGUUAUGAAUAUUUUAUUAUUCGAUGAGUGCAAUAUUCAAAACAAAUUGGGGAUGAAUUGUUGUACCUUAGUUCCAGCGAUAUGACACAAGAGUCAAACUCUUUUCAAUACCCGUGUAUAUGUAUAUUCAGUGUAAUAGCAACAGAACCUUUUUUUUUUCUAAAAGUCUCAAAGUCGCAAUCCUCUUAUUCCCGAGUUUUCCUAAAAUUCUUUCGAUUACAAAAUUUCUAAAAAAACACAGAUAAAUGAAUGCCGGAAGUAAUCCGUAUAGGCCUGGUCGCCAACACUAUCAUAUUAUCAUCAGCGGUGUCUCCAAAUGAAGGUAGAACACAUUCAGACGUCUUAAUUCACCCCCUUUUUUUAAAAGGAUUUUUAAGAUGAGCUUGCACAUAACGGGCUGCCAGGGUGUCGCCUUCCUGUUUUUCUAAUUAUCAUCUUUAACAAAGUUAAAUCGUUCCGCUAUGGCAAGCAGUAUUAAUGAAGACCAAACUAUUUACUAACCACGUGAAACAACCUUUGUCAAAUUUAUUGCCGCUUUUUUAUUUGCCAUAGGUAAUAAAAACAUGGUAAAAAAACACAUAGGUAAUAAAAGCAAAACUUGUUUAAUGACCACCAGUUUCAGCUGCCAUAUUUUUACUAAUAAACCUCUUCAUAAUUGCAAUAGAUACCCCGUAGUGGUUGCCGUUUUUUUCCUGUUUGCGAGGGAGUUGAAACUGCUUAUAAGAAACAUGGUAGCCCUCAAUCAGGCCACAAACAGCUUAAACUGUCUUGAGUGAAGUCCUCACUUACAAAAGAGCAAGAACCUACAAGAAAAUGACAUCGUCUCUCAUUCUAGCCAUCAGCAUUAUCAUUGCCCUUUUAUUGUGUAAUGCGUAUACAAUUGACGCGUCUAUGCCUAGUCCGCCCUAUGGUAAAAGAAACGAAUUCAUCCAGAUGAAAACAGAGCGUGCUAGAAGAUUGAUAUGUCAAACGGCUGAAAGGCUUCACUGCGGCUUGAAGCAGUCCAAAGGCAACUCAAAUGACCCCUUCGAUAACGAAAAAGACGUUAAGACUAAUAUAUUAUGGUGAAUAACGGAACAUACCCACGCAGAACCGAUGGAAAUCUGAGAUAUUAAACAGGAACAUAAUCAGAGUAUGCCAUAAAAAAUAUUCCAACUUUCAGUAGGUAAAGCAGUGAGGUAUUUAGGUUUGAAUCUGAACAGCUUUUAUGGCAUUGUAAGAGACAAGUAAAAAUGUAGGUACAACACUUAAGGGCUUCUUUUACAAUAAAAAACUCUUGCGGAGGUGUAUGGCCAUAUUUUCAAUUAAAUAUUGAAUAAAAAGAUUAAAGCGGUUA